GUGAUGGCUCAGUGGCUAAGAGCACUGGUUAUUCUUCCAGAAGACCUGGGUUUGAUUCCCAGCAUUCACA
RNAcentral lists this transfer RNA (70 nucleotides) under Cricetulus griseus (Chinese hamster). It matches the Rfam family "tRNA". From Rfam's summary of the family: Transfer RNA (tRNA) molecules are approximately 80 nucleotides in length. Lineage: Eukaryota; Metazoa; Chordata; Mammalia; Rodentia; Cricetidae. The record is from Rfam by way of RNAcentral.